UAGACAAGACCUUGUCAAGAUGGUUUCAAUGCAGGAUUUGGAAACAAAACUUGAUAAGCUUCUGUAACGAGCUUCCGUUAUAGAAACUUACAUUAAGUGGUUAUCACAAUUCAUAAAACUUCCAAUAAGCUCCCAAAAUAGUUAUUUCUUCAACUUCGACUUCUGUGAUACUAGAACUUAUCGUGGUGGAGGUUCUGGGAACUUUGUGGCAUGGAGGAAGGUUUUAACCCAGUUCAAUUCAUAUACAUCGAUCCUACGGUGAUUAUAGAUUAUACAUGUAAAGCUUUAUUGAAGGAACAACUUAAAGUUUUGGCUUCUGGAUUUAUCGUCAUCUGAAGAAUCAUCAAUGCAUCACUCUUGUUUCUGUGGUAACAUUCAGUUUACGAUGGUAGUUAGUAAGUAAAUUGAAAGGCUUUGCGCCAUUGGUGUCAGAUUUUGGGUUUUCAAAUUUCUUGUUGUACCCUAGAUUUUACCGCUGCUUGAUUAGUUUUACUACUCCCAUCCUGUUCCAUUUUACUUUGAUUGUCAUAGUUGACUUGACACAACUUAAUUCAAAAAUGAAAGCAUUGA
This 570-nucleotide unclassified non-coding RNA is filed under the name Hevea brasiliensis (rubber tree). Lineage: Eukaryota; Viridiplantae; Streptophyta; Magnoliopsida; Malpighiales; Euphorbiaceae. The record is from RNAcentral.